Molecule: ribosomal RNA, 503 nt
Filed under: Culicoides tuttifrutti
Lineage: Eukaryota; Metazoa; Arthropoda; Insecta; Diptera; Ceratopogonidae
Description: partial 16S ribosomal RNA
Rfam family: Bacterial large subunit ribosomal RNA (bases 383-503)
Source: RNAcentral
GUCUUUUUGAAUAAAUAAAAAGUUUGGCCUGCCCGGUGAUAUUUUAACGGCCGCAGUAUUUUGACUGUGCAAAGGUAGCAUAAUCCAUUGUCUUUUAAUUAAAGGCUAGUAUGAAUGGUUGGAUGAGAUAUCAACUAUUUUUAUUUUAAUAAAAAUGAAUUUUAAUUUUUAGUAAAAAUGCUAAAAUAAAAAAAUUAGACGAGAAGACCCUAUAAAUCUUUAUUUUUAAAUAAUAAUAUUAAUUUUGUAAAUUUUUUAAUAAUUAUUUUUUAAAAAAUUUUAUUGGGAGGAUAAUGAAAUUUAAUAAACUUUUAUUCUAAUUUAUAAAUAUAAUUAAAUUAAUGAAUAUAUUAUAAUGUUUAAAAAAUUAAGUUACUUUAGGGAUAACAGCGUAAUUAUUUUAAAGAGUUCUUAUCGACAAAAUAGUUUGCGACCUCGAUGUUGAAUUAAGAAUUAAUUUAGGUGCACAAAUUUAAAUUUUAAGUCUGUUCGACUUUUAAAUU